RNAcentral lists this ribosomal RNA (253 nucleotides) under uncultured bacterium. Its description in RNAcentral is "partial 16S ribosomal RNA". It matches the Rfam family "Bacterial small subunit ribosomal RNA", at positions 524 to 776 of the family's 1533-position model. The record is from RNAcentral.
UACGAAGGGGACAAGCGUUGUUCGGAAUCAUUGGGCGUAAAGCGAACGUAGGCGGGCUUGUAAGUCGGUUGUGAAAUCCCUGGGCUUAACCCGGGAACUGCAGUCGAAACUGUGAGUCUUGAAUGCUCGAGAGGAUGGUGGAAUUCCUGGAGUAGAAGUGAAAUUCGUAGAUAUCAGGAGAAACACCGGAGGCGAAGGCGGCCAUCUGGCGAGACAUUGACGCUGAGGUUCGAAAGCGUGGGGAGCAAACAGG